This 18-nucleotide non-coding RNA is filed under the name Arabidopsis thaliana (thale cress). The record is from RNAcentral. RNAcentral also lists the same sequence under 1 other name. Lineage: Eukaryota; Viridiplantae; Streptophyta; Magnoliopsida; Brassicales; Brassicaceae.
AUAACGCAGGUGUCCUAA